ACUCAAAUGAAUUGACGGGGACUUGCACAAGCAGUGGAUUAUGCGGUUUAAUUCGAUGAUAAACGAAAAACCUUACCAAGGUUAGAAAUCUAUGGGAAUACGAGCAGAAACGUUCGUAGUCCGCAAGGACUCAUAGACAGGUGUUGCAUGGCCGUCGUCAGUUCGUGAUUUGAAUUGUUCCCUUAAGUGGGGUAACGAACGCAACCCUCGUUGCCAGUUACAAGUGUCUGGCGAGACUGCCCCGUAUUCUGGGCACAAGCGAAAGCUUGCGAAUAGAAUACGGGGAGGAAGGCGAGGAUGACGCCAGGUCAGCAUGACCCUUGAUACCUUGGGCUACACGCAUAAUACAAUGGCUACUACAACAGGUUGCGCCGGGGUAACCCUAAGCUAAUCCUUAUAAAAGUAGCCUCAGUUCGGAUUGAGGGCUGAAACUCGACCUCAUGAAGUUGGAAUUGCUAGUAAUCGCGGGUCAGCUAUACCGCGGUGAAUACGUUCUCAAGUCUUGUACACACCGCCCGU
This 519-nucleotide ribosomal RNA is filed under the name uncultured bacterium. Its description in RNAcentral is "partial 16S ribosomal RNA". It matches the Rfam family "Bacterial small subunit ribosomal RNA", at positions 899 to 1397 of the family's 1533-position model. The record is from RNAcentral.